Molecule: microRNA precursor, 207 nt
Filed under: Oryza barthii
Lineage: Eukaryota; Viridiplantae; Streptophyta; Magnoliopsida; Poales; Poaceae
Description: MIR812 microRNA precursor family
Rfam family: MIR812 microRNA precursor family
Source: Rfam by way of RNAcentral
AAAAAGACAAAUCCUAAAUUUUCGUGUCCAACGUUUGACUAUUCGUUUUAUAUGAAUUUUUUUUUAUAAUUAGUAUUUUCAUUGUUGUUAGAUGAUAAAACAUGAUUAAUACUUUAUGCGUAACUUGUCUUUUUAAUUUUUUUCAUAUUUUUUUAAAUAAGACGGACGGUCAAACGUUGGACACGGAAAUUCAGGGUUUGUCUUUUU